UUAAUCAGCUCUAUAGUCUUAUAGUCGGAAUAACGAGUCUAUAAUACACCGACAGUAAAAACACAGGUUGAGUAACGCCUUUUCCUUUCAUUCAAUCAAUCUUUGUAAUGAUCGAAUUAACAGCCUUAACAGCACUUCUUGCCAUCGAUUAGCUUCCCCACCCGCCAUGUUAACUAGCAAACCUUUGCCAAUAAUUACCGGUGUUUGCUCCGAUCAAAAUUAUUAAUCCCACAAAUUCAGACUAUUUUUUAGAAGCCCAGAUCCAGAUAUUUUUAGAAGCCGUUGUGCAAAGCCUGUGGAGGUGCGACUGCUCCAGUCUUGGGAGGCGCCUUAAAUGAGAGGAGCUCAUGGUGAUGACAUGCUCUUCGUCAAUGAAAAGGUUCCAUCUCAGUUAUCAUCGAAUGACUCUGUCGCUUAUAACGCCUGCAGCCCUCACCACAAUUCCCUAAACAAACCGGUACUCUUCUUCCUUACUAUAUAUUUUUUUUUGUAAAUGUCCUUCCUCACUAUUUCACUUCCCCGUUAUGCCUAAAGCCAGGUUGCCAAAAUUCUGUUUCCUGAGAUCAAAACCAGUAAGCUGAAAGGUGCGUACAGUCUACUGAUGGAUUUUACAAACUGGAGUAAAUAUUGUUUUUCUGGGCAGGAACAAGUUUUCGUUGAUUCAAAAAAUUGACCGAAAGCAAUAUUGUUUGGGUUUACUCCAGCCCUCUAAAGCUUCAGCUUUUUCUUCCUUGGUUAGGUAAAGAUCUUUGCCAGGGCUGGUGACUUUCAGAAUCAGGUGCAGCCUCUUGAAGAAGCUUUAAAUCGAAUGUAUUUUCCAAUGCUGAAUCUUCCCAUAUAUUUUUAGUUCUUCAGAUUUUCUCUUCAUGUGUAUAUUUUGUUUGCAGCUAAUGUAUAUAUAUAUAUUGUUAUAUAAAAAUUGAGAACAUUGUGAUGCCAUUCUUGACGUUAUUGAGAAUAAAAACGCCUGUAAGUUUCUGAUG
Long non-coding RNA from Brassica napus (rape), 983 nucleotides. RefSeq lists it as uncharacterized. The transcript is spliced from 4 exons. NCBI's taxonomy places the organism in Eukaryota, Viridiplantae, Streptophyta, Magnoliopsida, Brassicales, Brassicaceae. The record is from RefSeq and is a predicted model, not a curated record.